Molecule: long non-coding RNA, 3605 nt
Organism: Gadus morhua (Atlantic cod)
Lineage: Eukaryota; Metazoa; Chordata; Actinopteri; Gadiformes; Gadidae
Exons: 3
Source: RefSeq, a predicted model, not a curated record
GGGUGUUCACACAGGCAGUUUUUUUUUCAGGUGCGGGUGGAUGUUUUACAUUAUAUUCCUAUGAUACAGGGUGUUUUUGUAAAAACAUCCUGGGUGCUUUUAAAAACACCGCUGCCAGCGGGUUUUUUUCACUGCUCUGGGUGGUUUUCAAGUUGGGAUAAAUUCAACUCGCCAAGAAAAAGCACCCGACGUCAGGUAGUUUUUUGACAGCUGACCAAUGAACAAGAACCUACGUCACUAGGAAAAACGUUGGAAAUUCAAGAAUGGCGACCCAAACCAAGACGUCUUUCCCGACGGAGCAACUUGUUGUUCUUGUCAGUGAACAUGUUGAGUUGUAUGACAUGACCAACAAAUUAUACCACAACAUUUAUCACAAGGAGAGUAUCUGGAGGACGAUCGGUGGGAUUUUGGGACAUAAGUGUAAGUAUUAAUUUUAAUGUUUAUCUGCUCACCUAACAAACUAUCCAGUUAUCACCGUUAAACGUGUUUCUAAUAACAUUUCUAGCGAGAAAUAUACUUUUUACUUGCAUAAUCUUUAGUCAGUGAUUGUGUCUGAUCUUUAGUUUUAUAGUUAUUAGGAAGAUUUUAUCGGCUCGAUGUCAAAGAUGUCCGGUUGCUAGGGACGCUGCUUUCGUACAGCUGAGGGCACAGCUGAGCUGAGGGCUGGUGAUACGGACAACGCGAAAGCGUUAGUAGCUGCUAGAGAAAUUCUUGGUAGGGCUUAAUCCUAGCCUGUUGUUUACUUUUAUUCACUGUAGGGGAGGAUUGCCGUGACAAAUGGAAAUACCUUAGAGGCAAGUACGGCAAAGAAAGAAAGGAAAUGAAGGAGAGGAGGAGUGGAUCGGAGGGAGGACAUAAACACAGUUGGAAAUAUGUAAAAAUUCUAUCUUUCCUGGAGCCUUAUGUCCAGGAAAGGCUCACAAUUAGUAACUUCGACCAGCCAAGCCAGACAGCAGAGAGCAUUUUGAAUGCAAUGUGUGAAAACAAUGAGGUAAGACUAGAUGAGAUUGGGCUAAUGUGCCAUGAUGAACAGGCCAAUUCAUAAUUGUAGGCUAAAUCAAACGAGUGAAGCUUAUCAGCUGUAUGACUAUGUCCUGUGUUUAAUCCUGUAGAUUGCGAAGGAAAAAAAAAUUAUGCUUUGUGUAAUGUUGUGUUUUGUCCCGUGUUUCCUUUACCUGACAGACUACAUUGGAUGACACAAUCAGUAGUCAACCUGGGCCUGGUUCUUUAAAUGGCAGUUCAUCAAGGCCCCCACCCCAUUCAUCUAGGCCCCCACCCUCUCCAUCUCCACCCCCACAACCACCUCAACAAGAACAGCAGCAGGAAUUCGGGCCCAUGAGAGUACAAAGAGGGAGGAAGAGGCAGGCCACUGCGACCAUAACCCCCUACCAGCAACAGGUCCUCAGUGCCCUUGCGAAAGAGGAGAAUGAGCAUGAGCGUUUCCUAUUGAGCUUUGCACCCACACUGGCAAGGUUGGAGCCUCGCAAACAGGCAUUGCUAAAGUGUAGAAUGCAGUCCCUGUUUUAUGACAUCGAGUUUGGAGAAUAAAUGAAAUUAUUAAAUUAAAUUAUUACAUUUAAACACAAACAUCUGCUUUGUACCUCUUUCUUUACAUUAGAUAUUCUGAAGGAGAUUUAACAUUUUAUCUUGUUUUAGCACUACAAUACCCACUUUGAUAUACAUAGGAGCCACACAAUUUCUAUUAGGUAUAAAAAAUAAAUGUAAACUUAUGUCAGCUUUAUCGUUCAUGGGUGUGGUACUGCUUCCAAGAUUCAGAGAAAACUUCAACUUCACCACAUCAUCUGGUGUUUGCUGGUGAUGAAAUGGAAUAGCUUUUAAGCAGAAGCUUUGGGUAGCUCUUAAAAGAGCUGUUGGUUUGGUUGGUUCUUUUAAGGCCUAUGUAACGGACCUAUUAUGUAUCCACCUGUAUUGCGCCCCGGAACCUUUUGUUUACGUCUCACCCGGUACCCUUUUAGAGGCGCACAGCAGCAUUCACGGCGAUGCGUGUUUCGCGCGUAGUCGCGUCGAAGACCGUAUGAAGCAAGCUAACGGCUGACCCAUGAAUGUCCGGUGAAUGCAACUUUUCCCUCUCAAUUUACCCUCGUCUUGCACCCUUGGCAAGCGGAGCGAGAUGUUAUCCUGCCAGGGAACUCGUCCAGCUUCAGACAUGAAGUACUGAGCAAACUUCUCCCUCACUGCCACAGCAUCUCUGCCAGCAUUGUUGGUGCCAAGGCGAGGUGCGUUCUGGAGACCUUGUGAUGGCGCAGCUGUGGAUGUUCCAGUAGAUGACCUAGCCGGUAUUGUAGUGCUGGCAUCCCACCUGAGAAAGUUAUGGAGCAUGCAGGUGGCCUUUACCACAUUCUCUGCCACUUCUGGAGAGACACACAGCACCCGACGGUACACUCUCCAUUGGGAUGCCAGUAUGCCAAACGCACACUCGACCAUUCUGCGCACGUGAGAGAGACGGGUGUUAAACACUUUUUUUUCUCCAGUGUUGUAGCCAGGGUAUGGGCGCAUGAUGUUACGGCGCAAGGGGAAGGCUUCGUCUGCCAGAAACACAUGAGGCAUCGGGCCAAGAUGUUCUGCCCCUGGGAGGAUGGAGUCAUCCGGGAUACCCAAUGUGUUCUGCCGUAGGGCAGUACCAAAAGCGGAGGAGGAGAGGGUUCCCCCAUCACUGUUUCUUCCAUAGGCCCCGAUGUCAACAAGCCUGAAACAGUACCUGGCGUCGACUACAGCCAGAAGGACGAUGGAAAAAGUGCCUUUGUAAUUGUAAUAAAGAGUGCCACUGGAGGGAGGAGCCUCAAUGACUACGUGUUUCCCAUCCAUUGCCCCUAUGCAGUUGGGGAAAUCCAGCUGUUGGAAUCCAGUGGCUAUCUUUCUCCACGCUGCUUUGUCUGGAAUAGGCAUGUAAUCUGGCAGGAGGCAAUCCCAAAUAGCUGUGCAGACCUGAUGAACUAUGCCUGCCACAGUGCUGGCACCCAUCCUGAAGGCGAAAGCGAUGGACCGGAAUGAAUCGCCAGUUGCCAGAUACCUGCCCAAAGAGUGAUAUUUAGUUUAGUCUGAAACAAUUGAGCAAGCAUGCAUACACCUGUUGAUCUUGAUUGUAGCCGUUAGCAGUUAGAUAGCAGUUUCUAUUUCAUUUGCAGGCCUGACAGUCAGGUACGUAAUGCUAGCAGUCUACAUCCUGUCCAGCGAAGGACGCUAUACAUAUAAAAUAGGCCUACUCUGAGCACCUUUAAAACAAGACUGAAGACUUUUAUGUUUGCUUUAGCUUUCUGCUAAAUCUUAAAUACAUUGCACUUUCUAAAAAGCUUUUUUAAAUUUGCCUUUAUAUUCUAUUUAAUACUAAAAUGCCUUUUUAACUUUCUAUUUUACCCAUUUCUUCUUCUAUGACAAUGUUUAUAUGUGAAGCACUUGAGUCUGCCUUGUGUAUGAAAAGUGCUAUAUAAAUAAAGUUGCCUUGCCUUGCCUACGUAUGCUGAAAAGGUGAGAACAAGCUCUGCAACACCAAAGAGUAUGGGAGGCAAGACAACAUAGCUUACAUUAGACCUGUUGCUAGGUAACCUACUACCUGCUUGUUACUAGUAAUAAAAUAAGCUACGAGA